Molecule: non-coding RNA, 31 nt
Filed under: Mus musculus (house mouse)
Lineage: Eukaryota; Metazoa; Chordata; Mammalia; Rodentia; Muridae
Source: RNAcentral
UACAACAAUAAAACCCUAAGGCACUAUCAUU